RNAcentral lists this long non-coding RNA (250 nucleotides) under Phoenix dactylifera (date palm). RNAcentral's name for it is "long non-coding RNA (PDAC_LNC020827)". Lineage: Eukaryota; Viridiplantae; Streptophyta; Magnoliopsida; Arecales; Arecaceae. The record is from RNAcentral.
CGCGCAUGUUGAGCUUGUUGAUGUACAUAUCGAUCAACCAUCGACGUGCAACACACAUCACAGAUUACAUCUCAGAUUGCUUUAAAAAUUAAAUAAAAAUAAAAAUAAAAUUACAACCCUUUUCAUUGAGACACGCAGGUCUCUAAUACAUGAAUUUAAGAUGCACGCAGGCAUCUGAAAAUUAAAAUUACAUGCAUCACAGAACAUCACCGAACAUCGCAGAACAUUUCAGCACAUUCAAAGGGUCCAU